This 870-nucleotide long non-coding RNA is filed under the name Setaria viridis. RNAcentral's name for it is "long non-coding RNA (SVIR_LNC001759)". The record is from RNAcentral. Lineage: Eukaryota; Viridiplantae; Streptophyta; Magnoliopsida; Poales; Poaceae.
GCUGGAACUACAUAAAUGUUGUUAAUGAUGAUUGAUGUCCAAUAUAAUGUAUUACCAGCUUGUGCGAAAGGGUCUAAUUAUUAAAAGUCCGAACACGGCCAUUAAAAGUGCGAGUGGAGAGUUGUGCGAGUGGAGUUUAGAGAGGAAGGGAACUGGAAUGGAAGGGUCUCGACGAGACAUGAUUGAGAUGAAUAGGUGGGACCCCCAUGUUAACCGCUGGGGUCAAAGCAGAAACCAAAAAUGGGUGGCUUCCCUUCCUGUUCGCUCUGAACCGAGUGCGCUAUGCGCAUUCGGGAAACUGUGCCCCUCCCAUGGCGAUUCCCAAGGCAGAUGCAUUCGGUAGUUAUGUAGGCCAGAUAUCACUGACGUGUGGGCCUAGUAGGGAAUGGGCCCAGUCGGCAGUGACACGAGUCAACCUGCAGACGAGACGCAUCCAGGAGUGGUAGGGGACAAUGAGUAGAUUUUGUUUCUAAAAGCGUACUCCCUCUGUCCCUUGGCUAAUCCGAAUGGGAGUUUCAUAGAGGUUUCAUGCACGUUAAUUAGGGUGCCAUGUCAGCAUUUUUGAUGAUGUGGCAGUGAGUUAAUGAGGAGAGAGGUAAGAGGGAUUUCAUCUAGAUGAAACCAUGUAUGCACAGUUACCAACACAGUUUGUGUCCUGCAUGUAGUGCAUAUGAAACUACUACACCAUGAAAUUUUGCACUGUAGAGGUAGUUUCAGAGACAUUUUCAUUUUCAUGUUGCUUAUGUAGCUUUCUUGGAAACAUCAAAAUGAAACUGUCCAUUGUGGUUAGCCUUUAAUGUUUAUUGUAUUGCUAUCACAGUUAGCAUGAUGAACAUCGCUAGUUUCGAGGUACCCACCGGGACAUUCCAC